This is an RNA transcript of Amphiprion ocellaris (clown anemonefish), 2264 nucleotides long. It is a transcript of the gene named acyl-CoA dehydrogenase short/branched chain, with no coding region annotated. The record is from RefSeq and is a predicted model, not a curated record. NCBI's taxonomy places the organism in Eukaryota, Metazoa, Chordata, Actinopteri, Pomacentridae. The transcript has 12 exons.
CGCAUUCCAUAAAUAAGAAUAGGAAAAUCACAUCUUUACGAUAAACGUGCCAAUAUUACACCCCGGAAAAUGUAGGUGUUGACUUUUACGUAAGGUUAUGAAAGGUAGCAUUAGCCCUCUGCUGGAGACACGCAUUUAAACGUUUCGUAACAAACCAUGGCUGCUCCGUUGGUGAGGAUUUUCUCAAAGUCUUUCAGACAAAUCUCUCGACCAUGGGGGACUUGCCAGGCUGCAUGGAGGUGCAGUUCCAGCAGAGCUGCCCCAGAUGUGGCUUCAGACCACGCAGCUGCCUCCUCCUUCCCUCCCCUUCAGACUUACUCAGAGGAAGAAAGCAUGAUGAGGGAAGCAGUGAAAAAAUAUGCGCAAGAGCGCAUCGCUCCAUUUGUGUCAAAGAUGGAUGAAAAUUCUGAGAUGGAUGAGGAAGUGAUCAAAUCCCUCUUUGAACAGGGUCUCAUGGGCAUUGAAAUUGAUCCAGAAUAUGGUGGCACUGGCUCCACAUUCUUCUCCUCCAUCCUGGUCAUUGAAGAGCUGGCGAAGGUGGAUCCGUCUGUGGCUGUGCUCUGUGACAUCCAGAACACACUCAUCAACACACUGUUUGUCCAGCUUGGUACCCCAGCUCAGAAAGAACAGUACCUCAGCCGGCUGUCAACUGACAUGGUUGGAAGCUUCUGCCUCUCUGAAGCAGAGUCGGGGAGUGACGCUUUUGCUCUGAAAACACGAGCUGAAAAACACAAGGACUAUUACAUAAUCAAUGGAUCCAAGAUGUGGAUCAGUAACGCAGAGCAUGCAGGUGUUUUCCUGGUGAUGGCCAAUGUGGAUCCGUCUGCUGGAUACAGAGGAAUUACCUGCUUCAUUGUGGACCGGGACACUGAAGGGCUCGAGAUUUGCAAGAAGGAGAACAAGCUUGGCCUGCGUGCGUCCUCUACCUGCCCGCUCAACUUUGACAAUGUCAAGGUACCGGAGAAGAAUAUUUUAGGAAAGGUCGGCCACGGGUACAAGUAUGCUAUUGGAAUGUUGAAUGAGGGCAGGAUUGGAAUUGCAGCGCAGAUGGUUGGACUUGCACAGGGUUGCUUUGAUCACACUGUUCCUUACACCAGACAGAGGGUGCAGUUCGGAAAACGUAUCUUUGACUUCCAGGGCAUGCAGCACCAAAUAGCUCACGUAGCAACACAGAUUGAAGCCGCCCGACUGCUGACGUACAACGCUGCUCGUCUCAAGGAAGCUGGGAGACCUUUCAUUAAGGAGGCCUGCAUGGCUAAAUACUUCACUUCAGAGGUUGCAACUCUAACUACAUCUAAAUGCAUCGAAUGGAUGGGAGGAGUUGGCUUCACCAAAGACUAUCCUAUAGAGAAAUACUACAGAGACUGUAAAAUUGGCACCAUUUAUGAGGGCACAACAAAUGUCCAGCUUUCCACUAUGGCCAAGUUCAUUGAUAAGGAGUAUGACUACUGAAACCAUCUAAUCACAGAAUGAUACGCUGCACUUUGCUUUGUUUCACUCCAUAUUUUUUCCCUCGAAAGACUUCAGUGGAAUUAAUCCAGCAGCAUCAUGUUGCUGCAUGUUACUAGAGUUUUGUAGGAACUUGUGUUCUUGUUAAGUAGUUCCUGUUACUGAUGUUGUAGUUGCAUUUCCCUGGCUUUUGGGUUAAAGUUGCUCUGGUGUAAUUAUAUAGAUUUAUUUUUCUUUUAAAUUCCAUUUUCUUUCCAUCACUUGUGUGAAAAGCAAGAAAUAAGGUGGUUUUUGUCAUUUGUAGAUCUUUACCACCUCUUUCCCUUUUUUGUCGUCUUCUUAUUGAGACGUGGUGAUGAACUAUGUAACAUGUCCAAUCCAUAUGUUGCAAUAUGAGGGAGGAUAUUUGAAAGAUAUUGAUUGGGGAUUUUUAGUGCCUUCUAUUACUGAUAUCAGUAAUUUUAAAAUGCAUUGUCUUUGCAGGAUGCUCUAAAUAACAGGUGGAAUGUAAGAGUUCACACCACAAAUAUUGUACAGUCAACACCAGGAUCUCUCACUAGAUGGCAGCAUUUUCCUGAGUGACAGCAGCACUCUUGAGUUUGCUGCAGCUUCACACUGAAAGGCCAGUCAAUUACCAUGUCUUUUAACAGCCUGUCACCUCUAAUGAUAUUUUAUAUCAAUUUAAUUAUGCUGGUGCUUCAAAUGAAAAGAGCCUGCCUUGCAUAAUUGACUCGCUGAUCAUUUUGUAGGUUAGACUGAUUAAAUUUCAAUGAGUUACGUGUGCUGUGUAAAAUAAAGUCUAUUGUUUAAAACAA